AGUUAAUUAGCUUAAUAAAAGCAUUUAUUUUGAAAAUAAAAGAAAAGAUUUAAAUCUAUUAACUU
Molecule: transfer RNA, 65 nt
Filed under: Amphipsalta zelandica (chorus cicada)
Lineage: Eukaryota; Metazoa; Arthropoda; Insecta; Hemiptera; Cicadidae
Description: tRNA-Ser
Rfam family: tRNA
About the family: Transfer RNA (tRNA) molecules are approximately 80 nucleotides in length. Their secondary structure includes four short double-helical elements and three loops (D, anti-codon, and T loops).
Source: RNAcentral